AGCUCCGGUGCCGUCGGCGCCUUCCCCUAUGAGUACUCGGGGGAAAAGAACCUCACCGAGCCCCACCUUUCCGCCCGAGGCAGUCGAUCACUCGGGCGGGUGAACAUCCGCCGCUCAACUGGCGUUUCGAGCCCUCGGCACCUCUACGCUCAGCGCAACGCAACCCGAAAAAAACUUCGGCCCCCGCCGGGAUUGCCGUCCCAGUGCGAGGGCCUGACCACCAAGGAAGAAGCACCUUCCCG
This 242-nucleotide non-coding RNA is filed under the name Streptomyces gancidicus BKS 13-15. RNAcentral's name for it is "Streptomyces sRNA 4677". It matches the Rfam family "Streptomyces sRNA 4677". Rfam says of the family: Located in the intergenic region between anti-sigma factor SCO4677 gene and a putative regulatory protein gene SCO4676. scr4677 expression requires the SCO4677 activity and scr4677 sRNA itself seem to affect the levels of the SCO4676-associated transcripts. The record is from Rfam by way of RNAcentral. Lineage: Bacteria; Bacillati; Actinomycetota; Actinomycetes; Kitasatosporales; Streptomycetaceae.